RNAcentral lists this ribosomal RNA (590 nucleotides) under Carabus lusitanicus helluo. RNAcentral's name for it is "partial large subunit ribosomal RNA". It matches the Rfam family "Bacterial large subunit ribosomal RNA", at positions 1921 to 2748 of the family's 2925-position model. The record is from RNAcentral. Lineage: Eukaryota; Metazoa; Arthropoda; Insecta; Coleoptera; Carabidae.
UUUUAAAUGGCCGCAGUAUUUUGACUGUGCAAAGGUAGCAUAAUCAUUAGUUUUUUAAUUAAAAGCUUGUAUGAAAGGCUGGACGAGGUAAAAUCUGUCUCUAUUUAAAUUAUAGUAGAAUUUAUCUUUUAAGUUAAAAGGCUUAAAUAUUAUUAAAAGACGAGAAGACCCUAUAGAUCUUUAUAGUUUAUUAAAUUAAAUUAAUUUAGAAAUAUUAAUGUUUUAUUUAAUUAAAUUAUUUUAUUGGGGUAAUAAAAAGAUUGAGUUAAUUCUUUUUUAUAAUAAACAUUAAUUUAUGAAUAUUAAUGAUCCAGUUUUACUGAUUAUAAGAUUAAGUUACCUUAGGGAUAACAGCGUAAUUUUUUUAGAGAGUUCAUAUCGAUAAAAAAGUUUGCGACCUCGAUGUUGGAUUAAAGAUUAUUUUAGGUGUAGAAGCUUAAUAAUUUUGGUCUGUUCGACCAUUAAAUCUUUACAUGAUCUGAGUUCAGACCGGCGUAAGCCAGGUCGGUUUCUAUCUUUAAUAAAAUAAAAUAUUUUAGUACGAAAGGACCAAAUAUUUGAUAUAUUUAUAUUUAAUUUAUUGAAUAUUA